AUGAGUUGAGUAAAUUCCUUGCCAUCGCGGGCUGAGAUGGCGGUGAUGCU
This 50-nucleotide non-coding RNA is filed under the name Amphidinium massartii. Lineage: Eukaryota; Dinophyceae; Amphidiniales; Amphidiniaceae. The record is from RNAcentral.